UUUAAAUUUCGCAACACUGCUCAGAUGUUGACGUUGUCGGUCGACUGCCGAUCGUGACGCCGCCAUAUUUCAAGUAGUGAGAAUGGGAGAUAAUUGUCUCGGGAAUUGUUUGACUUUUUCAGCAUAUUAAUGGCCCCAAACUGUUUCGAUAAAGGUUUGUGUCGAACUAAUCGACAUUUAACUUCGGAGGAAGCAAACGAUAAAAAAAACAGCAUCAGUCUACUUCCGUGAAGCAAUCCUGUGCUCUUUUAUAACAUGCCACCCAGAGUUUGUUAUUCGGCAAAGUGGAGGAUGGAGAAAGCAUUCCCGAUGUACCAACCAAUUUCGCCUAUCCGGAAAAGUACAUAAUAUUGCAGUUCAAAACGAAUGCAAGGAUUUAUUGGCAUAGGAAGUCAAAUGCAACGUAAACGGGUCCUCUGAGGGAAUUCACUAUGGAGCAGCACUUGCUGAACGUGAUCAUGGACAUUGAGUAGGACAUAGCCAGACAUAGAUGUAUUUGUAUGGAUCAACUAUAGAACCUGGCCCUUCGUAAAGCUUCAUCAUUUUUCGCAGAAUUGCUGCCAUGAGACGAGUUAGUACUUCUCCAUCUACAGAAACCAAUUGACACCGUAAGCGAACCCAGCACGAUUUGUUUGACAAGUAUCGCAAAGGCGGUACCGGUCGUAUGAUUCCUGGCACACUUCACUCAUCUGCAGGCUGGAGGAUGGAUGAGGAUGAAAAAUACAACAAGCGACUGACGAAAGAUCGCCACAAGCUUCGUCGCUUCUUACCAAGCUGCGUCAGCAUAGUUUUUCCAUCAAGCGGCAGGAAAAAUAAUAUGAACACCGAGUUAUCUUCGUGCCGGAAAUGUCCGCUCUGGAUUGGAGCAGGGCAUCAUUGAAGUUGAUGCGAGACCAAGGAUCAGUUGAACUUCAACAACAUUGCCAUUCGGGUCACGAAUCCUUCCACACAGGGCUACAAAAAACUAAUGAAUCUGAAAUGCAAAAGUGUGAAGAUUCUGAAAACACAAGAAAAGAAGCAUACAAAAAGCAGAGCAGAAACGCAAAUAAAAAAAAAGAGAAGGAGGGACAGAAAAGGAAGAGAAGGAGCGGAAAAGAUUAGCGGAAGUUUAAGCGAAAACUGAAGAGAAGCAUAAGAAAGAGGAACUAAAGGAGGAAGAGCGUACAAAGAAAGAAGAGGAAAUUGGAGCAGAGGUGAAGGCUGCUCAGGCCUUUUAGAGUUUCUUUGUGAAGAAACCAGUGCCAAAAGAUGUAAAACAAUCGAACGAUGAAAAGUCGAUGGAUUGUCAAUCUCUGGGAGAUGGUAGCUAUGAGGUUUCUCGAUUGGCAUUUAUGCCCUACACUGUGGAGGGCGAUAUGCGAUUGGCUCCAGUGUGCAUAGUAUUCCUGGGAAUGGAACGCAUGAAACGUUUGGAAGAAGUGUUGGUUGAAGCGGAUGCAGAAAAGAAUGAACGGGAUGGAUUUUACCUGAAGCAGUUAAAAACAAAGACUACGUGGUUGGCAAAUGGGAGCGAACGAGGACGGCACCGGAUGACGAAGGAGACGAUGACGAUGUAAUGAUUAUAGAUGACAAUGUGUGCCAUCAGAUCGAAGCGAACCCGGCAGCUUCCCCAACUCACAGCUAUCGUGCCAAAAACUUCCUAUUUGAAGAAAACCGCCGACCGCCGUAUCGGGGAACGUAGCGGAAGCAAAGCACGCAGACCAAGCUACGACGUCCCUUUGCUCAGGGCACUGUGAGUAACACGCUUCGUGUUAUGGAGCUAACAAAAAUUUUAACUUCUCCAAAAAUACUUCGAUUACGAAUUCGACUCGGAUGACAAAUGUGAAGAGGAGGAACCGGGUGAAUCGCUUUACGACAGUGACGACAUGACACGGCGUUCCACAUGGUCACUUGGUCACUUGAGCGACGAAGAGAUGCAAGCAGGGGCUAACGUCAUUGCAGACAGCAGUCCGGAAACCCAGAAGGCCAAGCUGAAAAUCAUGCGCCAAGAAUUUGCUGCCGAAAUGAAAAUGAAAACGUAAAAAAUCAAAUCACGACUUAUCGAUUGCUUGUGGGAGAACGGACCCGGGGAGGAACCAGAAUGUUCAGCUAUGAUUUGGGAGAUCCUCAAAGCUCGAGCCAUGUUGUUCGAUCCAGAGGAACCUAUUUCGUUUACGGUGCAUAAAAAUGGGCAGGAAUCGAACAGUUUAUCACCGUAAAAAAGGAACAAACCGAGCGGAAAGCUGAAACAGAUCAAACUGCUCGACGAAGGUGCAAAGGAGCUGAUUACACUCAUUCACUGAAGUGCUCUGAAUCGAAAGUUGCUAAUAAAAGAAUUCUUGGCAUACUGGACUAAGUGAAGGGGCGAGGGAGAAAGUAAUGCCCGAAAGUAUCAGGAUGAAAAUCCUACAAAAUGUGUUGGUAUGUAAACAAACAAGUAUUGGUCAAAUAAGGUUUGACGGACCCGAAAAUACCAUUGGAUGGGAGUUUAUUCUAAAACUUAUAAUCGAAACUACAUACAACAUGGAUUUUUAGUCUGCAAUCGACUCCCAGCUCAGCAUUGGUAUCAAAAACAUCUGCCGCUCCCUCCUCCAGCAUCACCAAGGUUACGCGAUGAAACUCCGAAGACGAUAAACGGAAGCAGUUUGCACCGAAUGGCAGGAAAUCUGCCACCACUUCGUUGAAAAUUUGCCGCAGCUGCCGCCUCACCAGUGGCUGCUUCGCCCAGUUUGACCGCGGAACCGGUGACGUGUUCAACCGCUAAUAUCAGUGCCACUGGGCCGAACAUAAAUAAGACCACCAAGAGCAAUCUAAUCAUCCAGCUUCAGGCCAAAGAUGGCACCGCUAACAACACCACAAGCAACGAUAAGAGCAAUGCGAACAUGGUGGAAUCGAUGGCGGUUGAGACGCUGAACCACGGUGGACAACCGAACGAUCCUGGCAAAAGUAUCGUUUUAUUGAUCAAUGGGUUCGAAGUGUAUCAGAUCAGUAGUGCUAAAGUGCACUAGGUAGGAUUGCGGUGCCAACAUUUCUAGGCUGUAAGCAGUUGCUGCUCAGGACACCCUUUGUCACCCACCCGUGCCACUUGCCAAUAUGCCACUGACUGGAGUUCGAUCUGCUGGUGUACAGUGUCGGUUAAUGUGCAUCGCACUGAUGGUUCAUCGAUAUUCCCCUUAAGGAAAUAUAUUUAAAUACACUGAGUGAGAGUCAUUAUUC
Molecule: long non-coding RNA, 3195 nt
Organism: Armigeres subalbatus
Lineage: Eukaryota; Metazoa; Arthropoda; Insecta; Diptera; Culicidae
Exons: 6
Source: RefSeq, a predicted model, not a curated record